GAAAUGCGAUAAGUAAUGUGAAUUGCAGAAUUCCGUGAAUCAUCGAAUCUUUGAACGCACAUUGCGCCCUCUGGCAUUCCGGGGGGCAUGCCUGUCCGAGCGUCAUUACGCACCCUCAAGCCCGGCUUGUGUGAUGAGCCCCGGCGUCUCGUUCGCGAGACGGGCCCGAAAGGCAGCGGCGGCGUCGACCCGAUGAGCCCGAGCGUAUGGGGACUUCUGUCACACGUUCGCGGUGCGGACCGGCGCCUGCUUGACUUUUCUGAUUAUCCAGGUUGACCUCGGAUCAGGUAGGGAUACCCGCUGAACUUAAGC
Molecule: unclassified non-coding RNA, 312 nt
Filed under: plant metagenome
Description: partial contains 5.8S ribosomal RNA, internal transcribed spacer 2, and large subunit ribosomal RNA
Rfam family: 5.8S ribosomal RNA (bases 1-105)
Source: RNAcentral